Benincasa hispida (wax gourd) is the source of this 3283-nucleotide long non-coding RNA. RefSeq lists it as uncharacterized. The record is from RefSeq and is a predicted model, not a curated record. Lineage: Eukaryota; Viridiplantae; Streptophyta; Magnoliopsida; Cucurbitales; Cucurbitaceae.
AUUAUCUCAAGUCUAAUAUGGUAUGAGAUGUAAACUUUCGAUUUUGUACUUAUUUUCUUCUUCUCGUGUUCUUCUUCAUGGAUCCACUUCUGGAGGUUUUUGAAAAUUCUUUAAACCCUACUGAUCCUAUUGUCAAUGCUCGACUGCUUGCGUCGCCUGUCCUUAAACAAUAUAAAAUUUCAUAUUUUCUUCACCUUUCUGAUGACACCAAUAUUGUUUUGGUCUCGAAUCUACUUAUCGAAACCAAUUAUACUUCCUGGAGUCAGUCUAUGAUUAUUGAUCUCAUGGUCAAGAACAAGCUCGGAUUUGUGGAUGGAACCAUACUGUGACUGACUGGAGCUUUAUCAAGUUCUUGGAUAAUUUGUAAUGGCAGCAUCACAACGUGGAUUUUCAAAUUGUUGUCUAAAGAAAUUUCGGCGAGCAUCAAUUUCUCUGAUUUUGCCAGAGAAAUUUGGAUCGAUCUUCAAGAACGAUAUCAACAUAACAAUCGUCCACGCAUUUUUCAACUUCGUAAAGAGCUAUCGAAUUUAUCUCAAGAACAAUCCUCUGUUUCUGCUUAUUAUUCUAAAUUGAAAGGCUUAUGGAAUGAAUUGGUUUCCUAUCGGCCGAUGUGUUCUUGUGGACACUGCACUUAUGUAGGUGUUAAGGAUCUUGCCAACUAUUUUCAGACAGAAUAUGUCAUGACCUUUCUCAUAGGUCUCAAUAAUUCUUUUAGUCAAAUUAGGGCUCAAUUGUUGUUAAUGGAGCUAGAACCGACUAUCGAUCAUGCUUUCUCCCUUGUUGUUCAAGAAGUUGAAUAAUGUAUCAUUCCGCCUUCAUAGUUGACAUCCCCUGUUUCUUCCAUCACGACCUUGCUUGUUAAAAAUUAUUUUGGUAAUUCUUCUGGUAAUUCUUCUCAUACUUCAUCUUUUAACAUUCCGAAGAAGAAAGAUAAACCUAUCUGCACUAAUUGCGGUAUUCAUGGUCACACAACUGAUCGAUGUUACAAGUUUCACAAAUAUCCACCUAGUCAUCGCCUUCAUCAAAAGUCUGUGACCAAAUAUGAAUCUCCUGUUGAUUCUCUAUCUAUGUUAACUACUGAACAAUGUCAGGGACUCUUAUCUUUACUUCAAAAUCAUCUCGCUAAAGCUAAGAUUGAUUCUGAUACUUUUACCAACACUUCUCAUGUUGUGGGUAUUUUCCCAAUUCUCGCCACUUCUGAUUUCAAAUAUGAUUCUUGGAUUUUGGACUCGAGAGCUGCUGCUCAUAUUUGUUCUACACGGAAUAUGUUUGUUUCAUUUACUAAUGUGGAUGGUGCUAUUGUCUCUUUACCAAAUCAGUCUAAGGACAAAUUGUCUUUGAAGACGAUUGGCAAGGCCAAUCUUUCACAAGGACUUUAUUUGCUCUCAGUUGAUCAACAAAUUCAUUCUGUGGUUAAGGAAGAUAUUGUUAUUUGUCUAUAGCUUCUUGCUUGAUUUUUGCUUGACAUGACAGCUCAAAUUGAAGUUGGAGCUGGAAUUACUUCAGGCAAUGAGUUCUUGCAUGAAGUUUGAGUAUAAAUCACUCAGAUUUAAGUGGAAAUGGUCAUACAAUUGAUAGUAUAUUGCUGAAGAUGGUUGAAGGUUGAAGAAGGUCUUCAACUGUGAUGCACCAGUGAACUUCUCCUCUUUUCCCCUAAAUUCCAGCUUGUUUUGAGUCCUACAACUCAAUCUAAGGCUCCUAGAGGAUAGAAGGGAAGCUCUAGUGGCAGUUCACAUCCAGAAGAAGGGAGAAUUGCAGUUGUAUUUCGAGUUUGAAGUAGAUUUUCAAAGCCAGACGUCAGUUUCGCUAGUCGCUCGCGGAACGCCUCGGUCGCUCGGUGUUUGCAGUUUGAAGCAGUCACUCGUCGACCCCCAAUCACCGCCGCCUGCCGCCAAAAACCCACCCCCAGGUUAGCUGUCGCCCCUGCCUCCUCGCGUCGACGGUCUGAGCCACACGCACAAGAUCUCUCCCCAAUCGUUCGUGGUCGCUGUCGGGGUGCUGCUCAUUCGCCCGUGGGUCGCCACUGCUCAAAUCGGCGACAACGAACUUGAGUCCCUAGCCACCGUGAAGCCAUCGAUGCCCAGCCUCGAGUUUUGCAGUCGCCAAGUUCCCAGUCGUCGAUAGUGCCAGAACGUUAGAGUUAGUGGUAAGUUAUUCGUUGAUUUUUUACAAUGGGUUUUGGAUAUCUUGGAUGCACAUUAAGUUUUGAUAUUUUUUUGUUGACGAUUCAAUGUGAUCGGAGUUUGGUUUGGAGAUUGGGUCGUUCCGAGUCGCCAUCAAGCAAGGAUUGUGAGCAAUUGGUGAGUUUAAUUGGGUUCUUAACACCCUUCAUUUUGGCGUGUAUCUACAGUCAAUUUCGUGUCUGAAACUCGACUGUAGUUCGACUUGAACAAACACUUCAAGGUUCGAUUUAAGAUUCUUUUUAAGCAAGGAAGGAAAUAAAUUUGUUUGAUUGAGCUCAAACUCUAAGGUAAGUAAUCUUACUACUGGAAUCGCUUUUGUGCCAGGCGAUACACUGUAGAUUUUAACAUUUAGAACCCUACAACAGUUUUUCUUUGAAUAAUUUUGAUUGUUUUGAGGUUGGAUGGACUGCUUAUGAAGUAUAUAUGAGCAUGUGGUAAUAUAUCGGAAUAUGAUUACGUAUGAACUCGAUUUGGAAUUUUAUGAGUUAUAUGAAAUGAUGAUUGAGCAUGACCCUUAAAUUAUGAGUUAAGUAGCAUGCAUAUUGGGGUGCCUUAAAGCUAGAUGAGCCUUAGACAUUUUCUGAUUUAUAUAGUUAUGCGAUUUAUUAUGAGAAUAUGUAGACUGUAUGAUAUAUUACGAAAUUCUGAAUACUGCAUUGUUUACAUGACCUAGUGCAUGAAAGUGAUGUGCUACAGUUGAUUCAUUUAAAACUAGGUUAAAUAUGUAUGUUGGGGUUAAUUAGCAUGAGGUUGACGAUGAGGAGAUUUUAGAGGAUUCAUGAUUAGGUGAAUAUUAUAUGUAAUAUGAAGUUAGAUGCAAUCUUCUUUCCUUUCCAGACUAUGUGACUGCAUGAAAGUAAUGUACGUCCAAGGGCGCUAGUACAUGAAAGAGAUGUACUAGGGUUGGUGUGUAUGAAAGUGAUACAUACCUAGAGGGUACUGGGGUGUACGAAAGAGGUACGCAUCCCUGCAUUUAUAGAGAGAAUCUGGGGUGUACGAAAGAGGUACAUACUCAGUGGGUUAUGUGUAUAUGAAAGAGGUGUAUACAUAACUAGAUGUACGAAAGAGGUACAUACUUAGUAGGUUAUGUGUAUACGAAA